This 248-nucleotide long non-coding RNA is filed under the name Homo sapiens (human). Its description in RNAcentral is "HSALNT0215623". The record is from RNAcentral. Lineage: Eukaryota; Metazoa; Chordata; Mammalia; Primates; Hominidae.
CAUAAAUGAUGUCACAAUAAACGGAAUGUGAGAGAAACCUCAGAAAUGAAAUUUGUAAGGAUAGAGACGGCGGGAGGAAGAGAAAGAUCAUGCCAGGGCUCCCGAGUGCUAAUGAAUUAAUGGAGAAGCCAAGUUAAUGAGUGCCGAGGAGGAGCUGUUGUCAGAGGUUUCGAUGUCCACACUAAGAGGGGAGGGUCAAUAUCUGAUGCAUCAUCAAGCUUCAGAGGAUAAGCUGACGAAAUUCAGUA